AAUAGAUACCCCGGUAGUCCAUGCCGUAAACGAUGUCUACUAGCCGUUGGGGCCCUUGAGGCUUUAGUGGCGCAGCUAACGCGAUAAGUAGACCGCCUGGGGAGUACGGUCGCAAGACUAAAACUCAAAUGAAUUGACGGGGGCCCGCACAAGCGGUGGAGCAUGUGGUUUAAUUCGAUGCAACGCGAAGAACCUUACCUGGCCUUGACAUACAGAGAACUUUCCAGAGAUGGAUUGGUGCCUUCGGGAACUCUGAUACAGGUGCUGCAUGGCUGUCGUCAGCUCGUGUCGUGAGAUGUUGGGUUAAGUCCCGCAACGAGCGCAACCCUUUUCCUUAUUUGCCAGCACUUCGGGUGGGAACUUUAAGGAUACUGCCAGUGACAAACCGGAGGAAGGCGGGGACGACGUCAAGUCAUCAUGGCCCUUACGGCCAGGGCUACACACGUGCUACAAUGGUCGGUACAAAGGGUUGCUACUGCGCGAGCAGAUGCUAAUCUCAAAAAGCCGAUCGUAGUCCGGAUCGCAGU
RNAcentral lists this ribosomal RNA (527 nucleotides) under uncultured bacterium. Its description in RNAcentral is "bacterial SSU rRNA". It matches the Rfam family "Bacterial small subunit ribosomal RNA", at positions 777 to 1304 of the family's 1533-position model. The record is from RNAcentral.